AACCAGCACCUCAAGUGGUCAGGAUGAUUAUUGGGCCUAAAGCAUCCGUAGCCUGCUCUGUAAGUUUCCGGUUAAAUCUAUGCGCACAACGUAUAGGCCGCCGAAAAUACUGCAGAACUAGGGAGUGGGAGAGGUAGACGGUACUCGGUAGGAAGGGGUAAAAUUCCUUGAUCUAUUGAUGACCACCUGUGGCGAAGGCGGUCUACCAGAACACGUUCGACGGUGAGGGAUGAAAGCUGGGGGAGCAAACCGG
This 253-nucleotide ribosomal RNA is filed under the name uncultured archaeon. Its description in RNAcentral is "partial 16S ribosomal RNA". It matches the Rfam family "Archaeal small subunit ribosomal RNA", at positions 474 to 727 of the family's 1478-position model. The record is from RNAcentral.